UUAAGCGAAUAAGCGUACACGGUGGAUGCCUAGGCAAUCAGAGGCGAUGAAGGACGUGCUAAUCUGCGAAAAGCGUCGGUAAGGUGAUAUGAACCGUUAUACCCGACGAUAUCCGAAUGGGGAAACCCAGUAUCCAAUGGAUACUAUCAUUAACUGAAUCCAUAGGUUAAUGAGGCGAACCGGGAGAACUGAAACAUCUCAGUACCCCGAGGAAAAGAAAUCAACCGAGAUUCCCCUAGUAGCGGCGAGCGAACGGGGAGCAGCCCAGAGUCUUAAUCAAUAGCAGUGUCAGGAGAACGGUCUGGAAAGUCCGGCAGUAAAGGGUGAUAGCCCCGUAUCUGAAGAUGCUGUUAUUGUGAACUCGACGAGUAGGGCGGGACACGUGUUAUCCUGUCUGAAUAUGGGGGGACCAUCCUCCAAGGCUAAAUACUCCUGAUUGACCGAUAGUGAACCAGUACCGUGAGGGAAAGGCGAAAAGAACCCCGGCGAGGGGAGUGAAAAAGAACCUGAAACCGUGUACGUACAAGCAGUAGGAGCCUCUUUAUGGGGUGACUGCGUACCUUUUGUAUAAUGGGUCAGCGACUUAUAUUCUGUAGCAAGGUUAACCGCAUAGGGGAGCCGUAGGGAAACCGAGUCUUAACUGGGCGAAUGAGUUGCAGGGUAUAGACCCGAAACCCGGUGAUCUAUCCAUGGGCAGGUUGAAGGUUGGGUAACACUAACUGGAGGACCGAACCGACUAAUGUUGAAAAAUUAGCGGAUGACUUGUGGAUGGGGGUGAAAGGCCAAUCAAACCGGGAGAUAGCUGGUUCUCCCCGAAAGCUAUUUAGGUAGCGCCUCGUGAACUCAUCUUCGGGGGUAGAGCACUGUUUCGACUAGGGGGUCAUCCCGACUUACCAACUCGAUGCAAACUGCGAAUACCGAAGAAUGUUAUCACGGGAGACACACGGCGGGUGCUAACGUCCGUCGUGAAGAGGGAAACAACCCAGACCGCCAGCUAAGGUCCCAAAGUCAUGGUUAAGUGGGAAACGAAGUGGGAAGGCUCAGACAGCCAGGAUGUUGGCUUAGAAGCAGCCAUCAUUUAAAGAAAGCGUAAUAGCUCACUGGUCGAGUCGGCCCGCGCGGAAGAUGUAACGGGGCUAAACCAUGCACCGAAGCUGCGGCAGCGACACAAAGUGUUGUUGGGUAGGGGAGCGUUCUGUAAGCCUGCGAAGGUGUACUGUGAGGUAUGCUGGAGGUAUCAGAAGUGCGAAUGCUGACAUAAGUAACGAUAAUGCGGGUGAAAAACCCGCACGCCGGAAGACCAAGGGUUCCUGUCCAACGUUAAUCGGGGCAGGGUGAGUCGACCCCUAAGGCGAGGCUGAAAAGCGUAGUCGAUGGGAAACGGGUUAAUAUUCCCGUACUGGUGGUAACUGCGAUGGGGGAACGGAGAAGGCUAGGUUGUCCGGGCGACGGUUGUCCCGGUUCAAGCAGGUAGGCAGAGUGAUUAGGCAAAUCCGGUCACUUAAUGCUGAGAUGUGAUGACGAACCACCAAGGUGGUGAAGCAAUUGAUGCCCCGCUUCCAGGAAAAGCCUCUAAGCUUCAGGUUACCAACAAUCGUACCCCAAACCGACACAGGUGGUCAGGUAGAGAAUACUCAGGCGCUUGAGAGAACUCGGGUGAAGGAACUAGGCAAAAUGGUGCCGUAACUUCGGGAGAAGGCACGCUGGCGGUAGGUAAAGUCCCUUGCGGACGGCGCUGAAGCCAGUCGAAGAUACCAGCUGGCUGCAACUGUUUAUUAAAAACACAGCACUGUGCAAACACGAAAGUGGACGUAUACGGUGUGACGCCUGCCCGGUGCUGGAAGGUUAAUUGAUGGGGUCAGCGUAAGCGAAGCUCCUGAUCGAAGCCCCAGUAAACGGCGGCCGUAACUAUAACGGUCCUAAGGUAGCGAAAUUCCUUGUCGGGUAAGUUCCGACCUGCACGAAUGGCGUAAUGAUGGCCAGGCUGUCUCCACCCGAGACUCAGUGAAAUUGAACUCGCUGUGAAGAUGCAGUGUACCCGCGGCAAGACGGAAAGACCCCGUGAACCUUUACUAUAGCUUGACACUGAACAUUGAGCCUUGAUGUGUAGGAUAGGUGGGAGGCUUUGAAGUGUGGACGCCAGUCUGCAUGGAGCCAACCUUGAAAUACCACCCUUUAACGUUUGAUGUUCUAACCUAGGCCCAUAAACUGGGUCGGGGACCGUGUCUGGUGGGUAGUUUGACUGGGGCGGUCUCCUCCUAAAGAGUAACGGAGGAGCACGAAGGUUGGCUAAGCAUGGUCGGACAUCAUGCGGUUAGUGCAAAGGCAUAAGCCAGCUUGACUGCGAGAGUGACGGCUCGAGCAGGUACGAAAGUAGGUCUUAGUGAUCCGGUGGUUCUGAAUGGAAGGGCCAUCGCUCAACGGAUAAAAGGUACUCCGGGGAUAACAGGCUGAUACCGCCCAAGAGUUCAUAUCGACGGCGGUGUUUGGCACCUCGAUGUCGGCUCAUCACAUCCUGGGGCUGAAGUAGGUCCCAAGGGUAUGGCUGUUCGCCAUUUAAAGUGGUACGCGAGCUGGGUUUAGAACGUCGUGAGACAGUUCGGUCCCUAUCUGCCGUGGGCGUUGGAAGAUUGAGAGGGGUUGCUCCUAGUACGAGAGGACCGGAGUGAACGCACCACUGGUGUUCGGGUUGUCAUGCCAAUGGCAUUGCCCGGUAGCUAAGUGCGGAAGAGAUAACCGCUGAAAGCAUCUAAGCGGGAAACUUGCCUCGAGAUGAGUCUUCCCUGUCGCUUUAAGUGACCUAAAGGAACGUUUAAGACUAAGACGUUGAUAGGCUGGGCGUGUAAGCGUAGCGAUACGUUGAGCUAACCAGUACUAAUGAACCGUGAGGCUUAACCUG
This 2899-nucleotide ribosomal RNA is filed under the name Proteus mirabilis. Its description in RNAcentral is "23S ribosomal RNA". It matches the Rfam family "Bacterial large subunit ribosomal RNA". The record is from RNAcentral. Lineage: Bacteria; Pseudomonadati; Pseudomonadota; Gammaproteobacteria; Enterobacterales; Morganellaceae.